This 586-nucleotide ribosomal RNA is filed under the name uncultured bacterium. RNAcentral's name for it is "bacterial SSU rRNA". It matches the Rfam family "Bacterial small subunit ribosomal RNA", at positions 338 to 916 of the family's 1533-position model. The record is from RNAcentral.
CCUACGGGAGGCAGCAGUGGGGAAUUUUGGACAAUGGGCGCAAGCCUGAUCCAGCAAUGCCGCGUGAGUGAAGAAGGCCUUCGGGUUGUAAAGCUCUUUUGUCAGGGAAGAAACGGUGGGAGCUAAUAUCUCCUACUAAUGACGGUACCUGAAGAAUAAGCACCGGCUAACUACGUGCCAGCAGCCGCGGUAAUACGUAGGGUGCAAGCGUUAAUCGGAAUUACUGGGCGUAAAGCGUGCGCAGGCGGUUUUGUAAGUCUGUCGUGAAAGCCCCGGGCUCAACCUGGGAAUUGCGAUGGAGACUGCAAGGCUUGAAUCUGGCAGAGGGGGGUAGAAUUCCACGUGUAGCAGUGAAAUGCGUAGAGAUGUGGAGGAACACCGAUGGCGAAGGCAGCCCCCUGGGUCAAGAUUGACGCUCAUGCACGAAAGCGUGGGGAGCAAACAGGAUUAGAUACCCUGGUAGUCCACGCCCUAAACGAUGUCUACUAGUUGUCGGGUUUUAAUUAACUUGGUAACGCAGCUAACGCGUGAAGUAGACCGCCUGGGGAGUACGGUCGCAAGAUUAAAACNCAAAUGAAAUUGACGG